Molecule: ribosomal RNA, 549 nt
Filed under: uncultured bacterium
Lineage: Bacteria
Description: bacterial SSU rRNA
Rfam family: Bacterial small subunit ribosomal RNA
Source: RNAcentral
UGGGGAAUUUUGGACAAUGGGCGCAAGCCUGAUCCAGCCAUGCCGCGUGUCUGAAGAAGGCCUUCGGGUUGUAAAGGACUUUUGUCAGGGAAGAAAAGGCUGUUGCUAAUAUCAGCGGCUGAUGACGGUACCUGAAGAAUAAGCACCGGCUAACUACGUGCCAGCAGCCGCGGUAAUACGUAGGGUGCAAGCGUUAAUCGGAAUUACUAGGCGUAAAGCGAGCGCAGACGGUUACUUAAGCAGGAUGUGAAAUCCCCGGGCUCAACCUGGGAACUGCGUUCUGAACUGGGUGACUAGAGUGUGUCAGAGGGAGGUAGAAUUCCACGUGUAGCAGUGAAAUGCGUAGAGAUGUGGAGGAAUACCGAUGGCGAAGGCAGCCUCCUGGGAUAACACUGACGUUCAUGCUCGAAAGCGUGGGUAGCAAACAGGAUUAGAUACCCUGGUAGUCCACGCCCUAAACGAUGUCAAUUAGCUGUUGGGCAACUUGAUUGUUCAGUAGCGUAGCUAACGCGUGAAAUUGACCGCCUGGGGAGUACGGUCGCAAGAUUA